This 429-nucleotide ribosomal RNA is filed under the name Gemmatimonadota bacterium. RNAcentral describes it as "Gemmatimonadetes bacterium partial 16S ribosomal RNA". It matches the Rfam family "Bacterial small subunit ribosomal RNA", at positions 355 to 776 of the family's 1533-position model. The record is from RNAcentral. Lineage: Bacteria; Pseudomonadati; Gemmatimonadota.
UAGGGAAUCUUCGGCAAUGGACGAAAGUCUGACCGAGCAACGCCGCGUGAGUGAAGAAGGUUUUCGGAUCGUAAAACUCUGUUGUUAGAGAAGAACAAGGACGAUAGUAACUGAACGUCCCCUGACGGUAUCUAACCAGAAAGCCACGGCUAACUACGUGCCAGCAGCCGCGGUAAUACGUAGGUGGCAAGCGUUGUCCGGAGUUAUUGGGCGUAAAGCGAGCGCAGGCGGUUUCUUAAGUCUGAUGUGAAAGCCCCCGGCUCAACCGGGGAGGGUCAUUGGAAACUGGGAGACUUGAGUGCAGAAGAGGAGAGUGGAAUUCCAUGUGUAGCGGUGAAAUGCGUAGAUAUAUGGAGGAACACCAGUGGCGAAGGCGGCUCGCUGGUCUGUAACUGACGCUGAGGCUCGAAGGCGUGAGGAGCAAACAGG